Molecule: long non-coding RNA, 1422 nt
Organism: Glycine soja
Lineage: Eukaryota; Viridiplantae; Streptophyta; Magnoliopsida; Fabales; Fabaceae
Exons: 3
Source: RefSeq, a predicted model, not a curated record
ACUACCACCAUCAAUGUCAACAGUGCACCCUCAAGAACCGAGUAGACCCACUUCUUAUGAUCAAUCAACUACUUCACCAUUAGUUCCAUUUUCUUCACCUAACCCUCAAAGGCAAUCAACGUCAUACUUUCAUUGCCGACACCUGCACUUCAUAAGCCUGCAACUGCAAUUGCUCCUUUGACUUGGCCAGUAUCUACUCAAAUAGCAACAACUCACUCAGUUGCAACUCCACCUCCAUCAAUACCUAGUUACCAACAUCUCCAUAACAAGGAUAAUCCGAAUAGCACCAUCGGAAUGCCAAAGGACAUGUUUUUGCAAAAAGAUGCAUUCUGCGUUUAGUUUAGUACUGUCUUUCCAAUCAGCUGUCGUUAAAAUGUUAACGAUUAUAAGAACCUUAUUAGAGCACAUGGUUCUCAGAAGCAUGUUUUCUAUGUGUUCUAAUAAGGUUCUUAUAAUAGUUGACAUCUUUAACUGCACCUUGGUUGGGAAGGCACUGAACCAGAUACAUAACACAACUUUUUGCAAAAAACUUGUCCUUUGGCAUUCCAAUGGUGUUGCUCGCAUUAUCCUUUGUUGUGGAGAUGUAGGUAACUAGGUAUUGAUGGAAGUGGAGAUGUAGGCUUUAUAACUGAGGGAGCUAUUAGCCUAUUACUGCUUGAGUAGAUAAGACGAAAGUCAAAGGAACAGUUGGUGUUGCAAUUGCAUGCUUGUCAAGUGUUGCUGCCGGCAAUGUAGACAUCAGAAAUAAACCAAGCAGAUGAAGCUGAACAAGACAGUGAUCUUGAUUCCCCGAGGAAAGGAAAAUGUUUUGUGCUAUAAAGAAAUCUACUUGACAGAAGGCUUUCAUGAGUUUGUGUUCAAACUCCAAGAGAAUAUCAGCCAUCACCAGCAGUAUUUUUGCAAUAGUGGCUAUGCUUCUGUGGAGCACCAUGAAAGAGUACUCAGAAUGCUAAAUUAUGGGAGGUUAAAUCUUUCUUCUGUGCCAGUCAAGUGGUACACCAUGCCAAAGAAGUUCUACAUAACUGGUUGAAUUAAUGCAUUUGGACCAUCACAUCAUGUGCAGGCCACCACCAACUGGUGUUCUAAAAUGCAAUCUCGAUAACCAGCAAUUGAGUUUUGAAGUUCUCAUUUUUUUUAUCAACAAAUAUUAUUUUUUAAUUUGUUAGUUUUUUUGUUAGCAGGAAAAUUUGAACUUACAAUCUAUCCCUCUCUCUCUCUUUUUAUCCUUUACCACCAAGUCAAUUUUAUAUCUUCUUGAAGCAGACAUGUGUGUGAGGGAUGGUAAUUAAAGGACACUUUGUCUCAUCUGUGUUGAUUAGUUGGAAACUGUUUUUUCCAAAUUAAGGUACACGAAGGUGGGAUUGUUAAUAGCAAUUAAAUAGUUAAGAGACAUGAUGAAUUUUGAUAAGGUUAUCAAUGAAA